Molecule: ribosomal RNA, 465 nt
Filed under: Vreelandella stevensii
Lineage: Bacteria; Pseudomonadati; Pseudomonadota; Gammaproteobacteria; Oceanospirillales; Halomonadaceae
Description: partial 16S ribosomal RNA
Rfam family: Bacterial small subunit ribosomal RNA
Source: RNAcentral
CCUACGGGUGGCUGCAGUGGGGAAUAUUGGACAAUGGGCGAAAGCCUGAUCCAGCCAUGCCGCGUGUGUGAAGAAGGCCUUCGGGUUGUAAAGCACUUUCAGUGGGGAAGAAAGCCUUGGGGCUAAUACCCUCGAGGAAGGACAUCACCAACAGAAGAAGCACCGGCUAACUCCGUGCCAGCAGCCGCGGUAAUACGGAGGGUGCGAGCGUUAAUCGGAAUUACUGGGCGUAAAGCGCGCGUAGGCGGUCUGAUAAGCCGGUUGUGAAAGCCCCGGGCUCAACCUGGGAACGGCAUCCGGAACUGUCAGGCUAGAGUGCAGGAGAGGAAGGUAGAAUUCCCGGUGUAGCGGUGAAAUGCGUAGAGAUCGGGAGGAAUACCAGUGGCGAAGGCGGCCUUCUGGACUGACACUGACGCUGAGGUGCGAAAGCGUGGGUAGCAAACAGGAUUAGAUACCCGGGUAGUC